This 2893-nucleotide ribosomal RNA is filed under the name Pseudomonas amygdali. RNAcentral's name for it is "23S ribosomal RNA". It matches the Rfam family "Bacterial large subunit ribosomal RNA". The record is from RNAcentral. RNAcentral also lists the same sequence under 1 other name. Lineage: Bacteria; Pseudomonadati; Pseudomonadota; Gammaproteobacteria; Pseudomonadales; Pseudomonadaceae.
GGUCAAGUGAAGAAGCGCAUACGGUGGAUGCCUUGGCAGUCAGAGGCGAUGAAAGACGUGGUAGCCUGCGAAAAGCUUCGGGGAGUCGGCAAACAGACUGUGAUCCGGAGAUGUCUGAAUGGGGGAACCCAGCCAUCAUAAGAUGGUUAUCUUGUACUGAAUACAUAGGUGCAAGAGGCGAACCAGGGGAACUGAAACAUCUAAGUACCCUGAGGAAAAGAAAUCAACCGAGAUUCCCUUAGUAGUGGCGAGCGAACGGGGACCAGCCCUUAAGUUGUAUUGAGAUUAGCGGAACGUUCUGGAAAGGACGGCCAUAGUGGGUGAUAGCCCUGUACGCGAAAAUCCCUUUGCAAUGAAAUCGAGUAGGACGGGGCACGAGAAACCUUGUCUGAAUAUGGGGGGACCAUCCUCCAAGGCUAAAUACUACUGACUGACCGAUAGUGAACCAGUACCGUGAGGGAAAGGCGAAAAGAACCGCGGAGAGCGGAGUGAAAUAGAUCCUGAAACCGUAUGCGUACAAGCAGUGGGAGCCCACUUUGUUGGGUGACUGCGUACCUUUUGUAUAAUGGGUCAGCGACUUAUUUUCAGUGGCGAGCUUAACCGAAUAGGGGAGGCGUAGCGAAAGCGAGUCUUAAUAGGGCGUCUAGUCGCUGGGAAUAGACCCGAAACCGGGCGAUCUAUCCAUGGGCAGGUUGAAGGUUGGGUAACACUAACUGGAGGACCGAACCGACUACCGUUGAAAAGUUAGCGGAUGACCUGUGGAUCGGAGUGAAAGGCUAAUCAAGCUCGGAGAUAGCUGGUUCUCCUCGAAAGCUAUUUAGGUAGCGCCUCAUGUAUCACUGUAGGGGGUAGAGCACUGUUUCGGCUAGGGGGUCAUCCCGACUUACCAAACCGAUGCAAACUCCGAAUACCUACAAGUGCCGAGCAUGGGAGACACACGGCGGGUGCUAACGUCCGUCGUGAAAAGGGAAACAACCCAGACCGUCAGCUAAGGUCCCAAAGUCAUGGUUAAGUGGGAAACGAUGUGGGAAGGCUUAGACAGCUAGGAGGUUGGCUUAGAAGCAGCCACCCUUUAAAGAAAGCGUAAUAGCUCACUAGUCGAGUCGGCCUGCGCGGAAGAUGUAACGGGGCUCAAACCAUGCACCGAAGCUACGGGUAUCAUCUUAGGAUGAUGCGGUAGAGGAGCGUUCUGUAAGCCUGUGAAGGUGAGUUGAGAAGCUUGCUGGAGGUAUCAGAAGUGCGAAUGCUGACAUGAGUAACGACAAUGGGUGUGAAAAACACCCACGCCGAAAGACCAAGGUUUCCUGCGCAACGUUAAUCGACGCAGGGUUAGUCGGUCCCUAAGGCGAGGCUGAAAAGCGUAGUCGAUGGAAAACAGGUUAAUAUUCCUGUACUUCUGGUUAUUGCGAUGGAGGGACGGAGAAGGCUAGGCCAGCCUGGCGUUGGUUGUCCAGGUUUAAGGUGGUAGGCUGAGAUCUUAGGUAAAUCCGGGAUCUCAAGGCCGAGAGCUGAUGACGAGUGUUCUUUAGAACACGAAGUGGUUGAUGCCAUGCUUCCAAGAAAAGCUUCUAAGCUUCAGGUAACCAGGAACCGUACCCCAAACCGACACAGGUGGUUGGGUAGAGAAUACCAAGGCGCUUGAGAGAACUCGGGUGAAGGAACUAGGCAAAAUGGCACCGUAACUUCGGGAGAAGGUGCGCCGGUGAGGGUGAAGCAUUUACUGCGUAAGCCCACGCCGGUCGAAGAUACCAGGCCGCUGCGACUGUUUAUUAAAAACACAGCACUCUGCAAACACGAAAGUGGACGUAUAGGGUGUGACGCCUGCCCGGUGCCGGAAGGUUAAUUGAUGGGGUUAGCGCAAGCGAAGCUCUUGAUCGAAGCCCCGGUAAACGGCGGCCGUAACUAUAACGGUCCUAAGGUAGCGAAAUUCCUUGUCGGGUAAGUUCCGACCUGCACGAAUGGCGUAACGAUGGCGGCGCUGUCUCCACCCGAGACUCAGUGAAAUUGAAAUCGCUGUGAAGAUGCAGUGUAUCCGCGGCUAGACGGAAAGACCCCGUGAACCUUUACUAUAGCUUUGCACUGGACUUUGAAUUUGCUUGUGUAGGAUAGGUGGGAGGCUUUGAAGCGUGGACGCCAGUCUGCGUGGAGCCAACCUUGAAAUACCACCCUGGCAACUUUGAGGUUCUAACUCAGGUCCGUUAUCCGGAUCGAGGACAGUGUAUGGUGGGUAGUUUGACUGGGGCGGUCUCCUCCUAAAGAGUAACGGAGGAGUACGAAGGUGCGCUCAGACCGGUCGGAAAUCGGUCGUAGAGUAUAAAGGCAAAAGCGCGCUUGACUGCGAGACAGACACGUCGAGCAGGUACGAAAGUAGGUCUUAGUGAUCCGGUGGUUCUGUAUGGAAGGGCCAUCGCUCAACGGAUAAAAGGUACUCCGGGGAUAACAGGCUGAUACCGCCCAAGAGUUCAUAUCGACGGCGGUGUUUGGCACCUCGAUGUCGGCUCAUCACAUCCUGGGGCUGAAGCCGGUCCCAAGGGUAUGGCUGUUCGCCAUUUAAAGUGGUACGCGAGCUGGGUUUAGAACGUCGUGAGACAGUUCGGUCCCUAUCUGCCGUGGACGUUUGAGAUUUGAGAGGGGCUGCUCCUAGUACGAGAGGACCGGAGUGGACGAACCUCUGGUGUUCCGGUUGUCACGCCAGUGGCAUUGCCGGGUAGCUAUGUUCGGAAAAGAUAACCGCUGAAAGCAUCUAAGCGGGAAACUUGCCUCAAGAUGAGAUCUCACUGGAACCUUGAGUUCCCUAAAGGGCCGUCGAAGACUACGACGUUGAUAGGUUGGGUGUGUAAGCGCUGUGAGGCGUUGAGCUAACCAAUACUAAUUGCCCGUGAGGCUUGACCAU